Molecule: ribosomal RNA, 527 nt
Filed under: Coridius chinensis
Lineage: Eukaryota; Metazoa; Arthropoda; Insecta; Hemiptera; Dinidoridae
Description: partial 16S ribosomal RNA
Rfam family: Bacterial large subunit ribosomal RNA
Source: RNAcentral
CGCCUGUUUAACAAAAACAUGACCUGUUGAUUGUUUAUAUUAGGCCAGGCCUGCCCACUGAUGUUAAUUAAAGGGCCGCAGUAAUUUGACUGUGCGAAGGUAGCAUAAUCAUUUGUCUAUUAAUUGUAGGCUUGUAUGAAUGGUUUGAUGAAAUAUUAACUUUCUUUAUAUAGUAUUUAUGAAUUUAAUAUUUAAGUUAAAAAGCUUAAAUGUUUAUGGAGGACGAGAAGACCCUAUAGAAUUUUAUUAUUAUCUAUUAUUGUUUUUUUGGUUAAUUUUAAGAUUAAUAAUAUGGUAAUGAUUUUGUUGGGGCGACAUGGAGAUUAAAUUAACUCUCUUUAUUUAUAUUUUAUUAAUAUAUAUAUAUAGGAUCCCUUUUUAAGGAUUAUAAGAUUAAAUUACCUUAGGGAUAACAGCGUAAUUUUUAUGGAGAGUUCUUAUUGAUAUAAGAGUUUGCGACCUCGAUGUUGGACUAACGCCAGAUUUGCGUGUAGCAGCAUCAGAGUCUAGGUCGUUGCCUUAUACUU